GGUAUGACCUGAUACAAUUUCUUAUGCAUAUGAUCAAUAGAUUUCUGCUUAGGAAUCUGGUGCUAUGAGAUCACCAUGAUUUAUAAAGUACUUUGUUGAUUCAAAAUCAUAAAUAUAGUUUUAAAUGUGAAAUAGUAUUGAGAAAGGAUGCUAAAUGAAGUAGAAGUAGAUUGCCAGAGACAACGGACUCUAAUUAGUUAACUGAUUUGCUUGUGCAUCUUUGAGGGUGAUGUGAUUUGUUUGCACACUUGUUGGGCAAUCUAUAUGUUUCUAUGAAGUUUGAGUCUGCAAGGAAAAGAUUAAUUGGGACAAUUUAAUCUCUCUUAAUUUUCCUAAUCUUGUCACUUGCAUUGAAUUUUAUGUUUUGGUGUGUGAAUCUCAUUGUGUGCAAGUGCAAGUUGAAUCCAUUUGUUUGAGUACACGAUGAGUUUUUGGAAUACCACCCAAAAGGCACUAUGAGAUUUUGGAAUACCACUUUUGAAGAUCAAGUUGCCUUGGGCUUUAAAAUUGUCAAAUGGUAAGCAAACUGUGGUUUAACCUAGAAGACGCAAUAGAAGAAAGGAAGAGAGAAAUUGAGAAAAUAUGGUGUCAUUACAUGAGCAAAUCAUCUAUAUUGAUGUUGGUUAUAUAUUGGUAAUCAUGUCUUAGAAAAUCAAAUUUUGCUUUCUUAAAAUAACAGGUUCGACAUAACAAUUACUGGUACUAUAAAAAUACUCUCUUGAACCUUAGGCAUUCUCUUAAUUUCUUAAACUUCUGUCGUGUGUUUGGUUAUUGAAAAAUAGUUAAACAUCAUAUAUAUCACUUUCUGAUAACAAAAAGAAGUAAGAACCUAAAAUUAAUAAAUUGUUGCUAGUAGAAAAUGUUGAAGAUUGGUUUCUGGAAUUCAUGUUAAUUUAAAGGAUUACCAUGUAUGAAGCAUCAUGUUACUAGGUGUGUUUGUUUAAAAAUAGCUAAAAUAGCUACUGAAACAUAAUUAACAUUAAAGUACAAGAAUUUUCAUGUAAAUUUCUCUUAAAAUUGCAUUGCUGCAAAAGCAUUUCAAUGGAGCCAAAUAUUGAUUCCUUAAGUCUACGCUAUUCAAAUGUAAUUAUGGAUUUGAAAGUGAUGAAAAAGAAAAAAACUCCUGGGAAAUCCAUUUGUUUUUAUUAUGGGCCUUGAUGUCCAGCCCUGGGGGCCCUACACUUUAUUCGCUUGCAAAUCAUUUGAUUUUUGAAAUGAAAAAAUUAAAUAUUUUUAACUUAAAAAAAAACCAUUUUGAAUGACAUAAAAAUCAAGCAUGAUUGUGUGAGAAGUCAAUUGAAUUCUUUUCUUGUAAAAGAUUUAUUCCAAACAAAGCCUAUAUAGUUAGCAUAGAUUUAAAGAUUUUGAAUUGCUAAUCAGGUAGGUAUAACUUGUAUAUAUUUGUAUCAGUUAUUCUUGAAAUAAUACACAGAAAAUUAUUCCUAACAUGGUAUUAGAGACAUAAUUCCAAUGAGGAAGAAAAACCCUAAAACCAUUUUUUUCCUCC
RNAcentral lists this unclassified non-coding RNA (1507 nucleotides) under Hevea brasiliensis (rubber tree). The record is from RNAcentral. Lineage: Eukaryota; Viridiplantae; Streptophyta; Magnoliopsida; Malpighiales; Euphorbiaceae.